This 75-nucleotide transfer RNA is filed under the name Klebsiella pneumoniae. RNAcentral's name for it is "tRNA-Ala(ggc)". It matches the Rfam family "tRNA". From Rfam's summary of the family: Transfer RNA (tRNA) molecules are approximately 80 nucleotides in length. Lineage: Bacteria; Pseudomonadati; Pseudomonadota; Gammaproteobacteria; Enterobacterales; Enterobacteriaceae. The record is from RNAcentral.
GGGGCUAUAGCUCAGUGGGAGAGCGCUUGCAUGGCAUGCAAGAGGUCAGCGGUUCGAUCCCGCUUAGCUCCACCA